AAGUGCUGGACAAGCCGAUGGGAGGCAUCAGGCUGUAAUUAUUGGACACAUCCGGUUUGUAUCCCAAGCGGACGGCUUUUGUGUCAAAACCCAAGUGCCGGGACUCUUCAGACAUUUUCUCAGCUAAAACAGUUUUAUGGAUUCGUUGUGCCCAUUAUUCGUCAACUGCGUGCAGAUGGAAAAAUUUACCAACAUGGCGGGGCACUCCAGCGUUAUCAUCGCGAUGUCAGGACUAAUCUUGAUGAUAACUUCACAGUGGAAGACCGAAGAGGAAGUGAUGAGUACCCACCAAGUCCACUUGACUUUAAAUCUUUAUUUGGGGAGGGGGCACCUAAAGGUUUCAGGUUACAGCACAAAAUCAUCACUCCAACAACUAAGGCAUUGAAAUGAGAGAAACUUUGGUGAAAAUUUGUCAGCCAGUUAUUCGCCGUUGUUAACACUGCCUAGAAGUUAACGGUUGUAAUUUUGAUUGUCUGUCAUAGAUUCCCAUGUACCAAAAGCUAUUUCUUCUGCACACACAAAAUACUAAUUUUUUUUUCAGAAUUACGUGAUGGGUAUUUUAUUUGUGGAAAGUUGUAUACAUUUAUAAACAAAUUUAUUAAAAGCAGGUUGUUUAAAAAAAGAUGUAUGCACAGCAGUAACUUUGGUGGCAGCUUGUCAGUAAGUUGCUCACCGCUGACAACUCUGCCACGGAGCUAACGGUGGCCAUAUUGAAUACUUACACUAAAUUAGCAAGGUCAGUAAAUGCCAGUGCUGACGAAUGUAAUGGUAUAGCUUAUUAAAAUGUCUGUUCUUUAA
Molecule: long non-coding RNA, 798 nt
Organism: Zootermopsis nevadensis
Lineage: Eukaryota; Metazoa; Arthropoda; Insecta; Blattodea; Termopsidae
Source: RefSeq, a predicted model, not a curated record